RNAcentral lists this ribosomal RNA (253 nucleotides) under uncultured bacterium. RNAcentral's name for it is "partial 16S ribosomal RNA". It matches the Rfam family "Bacterial small subunit ribosomal RNA", at positions 524 to 776 of the family's 1533-position model. The record is from RNAcentral.
UACGUAGGGGGCAAGCGUUGUCCGGAAUCAUUGGGCGUAAAGAGCGUGUAGGCGGCUCGGUAAGUCCGCUGUAAAAGUCCAGGGCUCAACCCUGGAAAGCCGGUGGAAACUGUCGAGCUAGAGUCCGGAAGAGGCGAGUGGAAUUCCUGGUGUAGCGGUGAAAUGCGCAGAUAUCAGGAGGAACACCAAUGGCGAAGGCAGCUCGCUGGGACGGUACUGACGCUGAGACGCGAAAGCGUGGGGAGCAAACGGG